UACGUAGGUGACAAGCGUUGUCCGGAUUUACUGGGCGUAAAGAGCGCGCAGGCGGUCGAUCAAGUCGAGUGUGAAAGCCCCCGGCUCAACUGGGGAGGGUCAUUCGAUACUGAUCGACUCGAAGGCAGGAGAGGGUAGUGGAAUUCCCAGUGUAGUGGUGAAAUACGUAGAGAUUGGGAAGAACACCAGUGGCGAAGGCGGCUAUCUGGACGGUUUCUGACGCUAAGACGCGAAAGCGUGGGGAGCAAACAGG
RNAcentral lists this ribosomal RNA (253 nucleotides) under uncultured bacterium. RNAcentral describes it as "partial 16S ribosomal RNA". It matches the Rfam family "Bacterial small subunit ribosomal RNA", at positions 524 to 776 of the family's 1533-position model. The record is from RNAcentral.